GCGCGAAACCUUUGCAAUGCACGAAAGUGUGACAGGGGAAAUCAGCGUGCUCAUGGAAACCAUGGGCUUUUCUUUAGGGUAAAUACCUAAGGGAAUAAAGGAUGGGCAAGACCGGUGCCAGCAGCCGCGGUAACACCGGCGUCCUUAGUGGGAAUCACUUAUUAGGUCUAAAGCGCUCGUAGUUGGCUUUGUAAAUUUUUUGUGAAAUCGUGUCGCUUAACGGCACGGCGUGCAGGAAACACUGCAAAGCUUGGGACUGGGAGGCGUCAGAAGUAUUUCUUAGGGAGCGGUAAAAUGUGAUAAUCUAAGGAGGACUACCUGUGGCGAAGGCGUCUGACGAGAACAGGUUCGACAAUCAGGAGCGAAGGCUAGGGGAGCAAACCGG
RNAcentral lists this ribosomal RNA (385 nucleotides) under uncultured euryarchaeote. RNAcentral's name for it is "bacterial SSU rRNA". It matches the Rfam family "Archaeal small subunit ribosomal RNA", at positions 339 to 727 of the family's 1478-position model. The record is from RNAcentral. Lineage: Archaea; Methanobacteriati; Methanobacteriota.